CAAAAGACAAGGCAAGGCAGCUCAUCAGCUAUAUUUAUGAAAAAUAUUUCUUACCCAUGCUCGUAACAGUGGUUAAGAAACACAAUAAAUUGUUUUGUAUUACUUUACAUUUGUGUAGAAAGAACUCUGAGAGAAACAAAAUCAGGUAAAAUAUGUAGUGCAACAUGAUCUGUCAAAAAUAAUCUUUUUAAAUCACACAAAAAAGUCAUUUAAGCAGUGGCGUCUUUCCGAAAGUUUUUUUUUUGGUAACAAAACAAUGCCCAAAGAGAUGGGCCAUGGUCUCCGAGGACAGGUACAGAAGGACCAAGAUGCAUCAAUGCCAUGAUUAAAUCUUGUUGAACAAAAUGUUUAGUUGGGUUAAAUCUAUCAUGUGUUAUUUUUAAAUAAAAUGUCUUGUUUUGUAGCUAAUAAAGAAUUUACUCGCUGAAAUGAGAGAGUUUUGUGUAGUUCAGACCACAUUUUUUAAUUAAUUGACUUUCCUUGCGUAAUGAAGCAAAGUUUGCCAACAGGUGUUCACUUAGGGUCUAUGGGGUUUUCUUAUCUAACUAGAGAAAGGUCAAGUUCUUCAAAGAGCAACUCACAUCAAAAUUAACUUUUUUAGUUGAUAACUAGUAUAAAUGAGUGUCUAAUAGUGUUGUAGACAUGUGUAGUUAUUAUUUUUGCAUUUUGAUGCAUUUUCUUUGAAAACUCUAAAUUCUGUCUAAAAAUGUCAGUCUAGCACCAUCUUCAGCUCAAAGGUCUGGAGCACGUUUAAGUUGAGUCUGAUGUAACCAAUGGCUAACGAGCACGAUGCUACGUUUCCAAGAACAGUACUACGUAACAGCUCUGUGGCUGUAGGUUAUAAAAGCACCGCGGUCUCAACCAGCCUUGUAGCAGUCGGGCUGGUAAGUGAGUUGUGCUGUAGUUAGCAUUAGCAUUGUGUCAGAGUCCUAGCAAAACUUCUAGUAUUAAGAUUAUUUAGUUUGAGUAGCUUGGCUGUUAGAUUUUGCAGUUUAGUAUUUUUUAUGUCAGACUCUUUCACCAACUUGGUGGAGCUUGAACUGGUUAUGCUGGUUUGAAGAGCAUUUCACAAAUUAGUCCAAACUGUUCCAGUAAUUAGCCGGAUCCCGCCGACUGCUGCUUCCUCAAAACGGAGAUUUUGGGCCCAAUUUGAAAUGACCUCCCAGCAGCUGUGUGUCUGACACUGGGACCAUGAUGGGAAUUCCACCCAGAGCAGCUUCUACACUCCUGAACAGACCCAGGUGUGGUGGAGAACUUCUGAGCAGCUUCCGUCUGAAUGACAGGACAAGCUCCAUGAACUGAUCCAGGCUAAAUGAACCCAAGAACUCUGCUGUCAGACUGACUGUUGCAGCUACAAAUGGUCCAGACUAACAUGAAGCCUUGCAGGUGUAGUAAAGCUUGGAGCUAGAUUACAUCAUGACAUCAUGAAGGAGACUACUGAUUCUGGUCCUGUGACACUUGGUGGUGACGUGUGAGCUGAUUCACCUGGACACUCAUCAAAAUAUGGUCACUACACCAUGAGGCAGGCACACGUUAAUACUCUAUAAGAGCACAUAAGGUGAGCAACACCACAUAUUAUUAUUAUUAUUACUG
Non-coding RNA from Nothobranchius furzeri (turquoise killifish), 1593 nucleotides. The record is from RefSeq and is a predicted model, not a curated record. Lineage: Eukaryota; Metazoa; Chordata; Actinopteri; Cyprinodontiformes; Nothobranchiidae.